ACGUAGGGGGCGAGCGUUGUCCGGAUUUAUUGGGCGUAAAGGGCGUGUAGGCGGCCUGGUAAGUCGGGGGUGAAAACUCAGGGCUCAACCCUGAGACUGCCUUCGAUACUGCUGGGCUUGAGUGCUCUAGAGGGUAGUGGAAUUGCCGGUGUAGCAGUGAAAUGCGUAGAGAUCGGCAGGAACACCAGUGGCGAAGGCGACUGCCUGGGGAGUAACUGACGCUGAGGCGCGAAAGCUGGGGGAGCAAACGGGA
This 253-nucleotide ribosomal RNA is filed under the name uncultured prokaryote. Its description in RNAcentral is "partial 16S ribosomal RNA". It matches the Rfam family "Bacterial small subunit ribosomal RNA", at positions 525 to 777 of the family's 1533-position model. The record is from RNAcentral.